AACGCACCUUGCACCCUUUGGUAUUCCGAAGGGUACACCCGUUUGAGUGUCAUUGUAAUCUCACUACGAUCGACUUUAUGUCUUUCUGUAUGUGGACUUGGAUGUUGCCGUGGAUUUCUAUGGCUCGUCCGAAAUGCUUCAGUGUACCCCGCAAAGCGGCGUAUUCGGUGUGAUACAUCUUCACCGGAGUUGAUCCUUCACGGGUCGCGUCUGUAAUGUGUGGCUCUAUGCUUCAAACCGUCUUGACAGGACAAUCUUUGACAAUUCGGCCUCAAAUCGGGUGGGACUACCCGCUGAACUUAA
This 303-nucleotide unclassified non-coding RNA is filed under the name Chloridium sp. RNAcentral describes it as "partial contains 5.8S ribosomal RNA, internal transcribed spacer 2, and large subunit ribosomal RNA". Lineage: Eukaryota; Fungi; Ascomycota; Sordariomycetes; Chaetosphaeriales; Chaetosphaeriaceae. The record is from RNAcentral.